RNAcentral lists this ribosomal RNA (718 nucleotides) under Pseudomonas aeruginosa. Its description in RNAcentral is "partial 23S ribosomal RNA". It matches the Rfam family "Bacterial large subunit ribosomal RNA", at positions 1093 to 1798 of the family's 2925-position model. Lineage: Bacteria; Pseudomonadati; Pseudomonadota; Gammaproteobacteria; Pseudomonadales; Pseudomonadaceae. The record is from RNAcentral.
CUAGGAGGUUGGCUUAGAAGCAGCCAUCCUUUAAAGAAAGCGUAAUAGCUCACUAGUCGAGUCGGCCUGCGCGGAAGAUGUAACGGGGCUCAAACCACACACCGAAGCUGCGGGUGUCACGUAAGUGACGCGGUAGAGGAGCGUUCUGUAAGCCUGUGAAGGUGAGUUGAGAAGCUUGCUGGAGGUAUCAGAAGUGCGAAUGCUGACAUGAGUAACGACAAUGGGUGUGAAAAACACCCACGCCGAAAGACCAAGGGUUCCUGCGCAACGUUAAUCGACGCAGGGUUAGUCGGUUCCUAAGGCGAGGCUGAAAAGCGUAGUCGAUGGGAAACAGGUUAAUAUUCCUGUACUUCUGGUUACUGCGAUGGAGGGACGGAGAAGGCUAGGCCAGCUUGGCGUUGGUUGUCCAAGUUUAAGGUGGUAGGCUGAAAUCUUAGGUAAAUCCGGGGUUUCAAGGCCGAGAGCUGAUGACGAGUCGUCUUUUAGAUGACGAAGUGGUUGAUGCCAUGCUUCCAAGAAAAGCUCCUAAGCUUCAGGUAACCAGGAACCGUACCCCAAACCGACACAGGUGGUCGGGUAGAGAAUACCAAGGCGCUUGAGAGAACUCGGGUGAAGGAACUAGGCAAAAUGGCACCGUAACUUCGGGAGAAGGUGCGCCGGCUAGGGUGAAGGAUUUACUCCGUAAGCUCUGGCUGGUCGAAGAUACCAGGCCGCUGCG